This 772-nucleotide ribosomal RNA is filed under the name Psychrobacter sp. CAL642. RNAcentral's name for it is "bacterial SSU rRNA". It matches the Rfam family "Bacterial small subunit ribosomal RNA", at positions 22 to 787 of the family's 1533-position model. The record is from RNAcentral. Lineage: Bacteria; Pseudomonadati; Pseudomonadota; Gammaproteobacteria; Moraxellales; Moraxellaceae.
AUGAAACUUGAACGCUGGCGGCAGGCUUAACACAUGCAAGUCGAGCGGUAACAUUUCUAGCUUGCUAGAAGAUGACGAGCGGCGGACGGGUGAGUAAUACUUAGGAAUCUACCUAGUAGUGGGGGAUAGCUCGGGGAAACUCGAAUUAAUACCGCAUACGACCUACGGGAGAAAGGGGGCAGUUUACUGCUCUCGCUAUUAGAUGAGCCUAAGUCGGAUUAGCUAGAUGGUGGGGUAAAGGCCUACCAUGGCGACGAUCUGUAGCUGGUCUGAGAGGAUGAUCAGCCACACCGGAACUGAGACACGGUCCGGACUCCUACGGGAGGCAGCAGUGGGGAAUAUUGGACAAUGGGGGCAACCCUGAUCCAGCCAUGCCGCGUGUGUGAAGAAGGCCUUUUGGUUGUAAAGCACUUUAAGCAGUGAAGAAGACUCCGUGGUUAAUACCCACGGACGAUGACAUUAGCUGCAGAAUAAGCACCGGCUAACUCUGUGCCAGCAGCCGCGGUAAUACAGAGGGUGCAAGCGUUAAUCGGAAUUACUGGGCGUAAAGCGAGCGUAGGUGGCUUGAUAAGUCAGAUGUGAAAUCCCCGGGCUUAACCUGGGAACUGCAUCUGAUACUGUUAGGCUAGAGUAGGUGAGAGGAAGGUAGAAUUCCAGGUGUAGCGGUGAAAUGCGUAGAGAUCUGGAGGAAUACCGAUGGCGAAGGCAGCCUUCUGGCAUCAUACUGACACUGAGGCUCGAAAGCGUGGGUAGCAAACAGGAUUAGAUACUC